Molecule: small RNA, 125 nt
Filed under: Marmota monax (woodchuck)
Lineage: Eukaryota; Metazoa; Chordata; Mammalia; Rodentia; Sciuridae
Source: RNAcentral
GCUGGGCACAGUGGCUCAUGCCUGUAAUCCCAGUGACUUGAGAGGCUGAGGCAGGAGGAUUGAGAAUUCAAAGCCAGCCUCAACAACAGAGAGGCUCUAAGCAACUCAGUGAGACCCUGUCUCUA